Molecule: ribosomal RNA, 589 nt
Filed under: uncultured fungus
Lineage: Eukaryota; Fungi
Description: eukaryotic LSU rRNA
Rfam family: Eukaryotic large subunit ribosomal RNA
Source: RNAcentral
AUAUCAAUAAGCGGAGGAAAAGAAACCAACAGGGAUUGCCUCAGUAACGGCGAGUGAAGCGGCAACAGCUCAAAUUUGAAAUCUGGCUCACGCCCGAGUUGUAAUUUGUAGAGGAUGCUUCGGGUGAAGCCGCGGUCCAAGUCCCUUGGAACAGGACGUCAUAGAGGGUGAGAACCCCGUACCUGGCCGCCGGUGCCCCCCGCUGUGAAGCUCCUUCGACGAGUCGAGUUGUUUGGGAAUGCAGCUCUAAAUUGGUGGUAAAUUCCAUCUAAAGCUAAAUACCGGCCAGAGACCGAUAGCGCACAAGUAGAGUGAUCGAAAGAUGAAAAGCACUUUGAAAAGAGAGUUAAAAAGUACGUGAAAUUGUUGAAAGGGAAGCGCUUGCGGCCAGACUUGCCCGCGGUUGCUCAGCCCGCCCUUUGGCGGGUGCACUCUUCCGCGGUCAGGCCAGCAUCGGUUUGGGCGGUCGGACAAAGGCGUUGGGAACGUGACCUCCCCUCGGGGAGGUGUUAUAGCCCGGCGCGUAAUGCGACCAGCCUGGACCGAGGUUCGCGCUCUGCUAGGAUGCUGGCGUAAUGGCCGUAAGCGG